UGUUAUAUUCAAAAGUGUAAGAUAGCGUAAUUGUAAUACACGAGCUGAGGUCUAUUUAUAGAUUACAAUUGAGGGUAAAAAGGUAAAAUCAAUGCCCACGCAUGCUCCUUGCGUGGUCGAAGGGUAGAACAGUAAUUUUGCCUUUACGCGGGAAGUCUCCCGCGUUUCUGACGAUCCCACUGAUGGAGGUGAUCUCUCUGGCG
Molecule: long non-coding RNA, 203 nt
Filed under: Salvia miltiorrhiza (redroot sage)
Lineage: Eukaryota; Viridiplantae; Streptophyta; Magnoliopsida; Lamiales; Lamiaceae
Description: long non-coding RNA (SMIL_LNC000164)
Source: RNAcentral